Molecule: long non-coding RNA, 223 nt
Filed under: Citrus maxima (pomelo)
Lineage: Eukaryota; Viridiplantae; Streptophyta; Magnoliopsida; Sapindales; Rutaceae
Description: long non-coding RNA (CMAX_LNC000516)
Source: RNAcentral
CUUAUUCAGAUAUCGACUAAAUUAGUGAGUUUCCAGCAAACUUGUACAACUUUAGAAAUUCAAGCUCUCAAGAUUUGUGGCCAAUGAAAGACCAGGGAUUUUGGUUAGAUGCUCAGUGACUUAGAUUUAUAUUUUUUAAGUUAACAAGGUGCUACAAACAUUUAUUCAAAAAAGUUAGCAUAUAUAUCUAUAGUUUCCUAAUAAAAGAGCAAUUACAGUAUAA